Long non-coding RNA from Acanthopagrus latus (yellowfin seabream), 487 nucleotides. RefSeq lists it as uncharacterized. Lineage: Eukaryota; Metazoa; Chordata; Actinopteri; Spariformes; Sparidae. The record is from RefSeq and is a predicted model, not a curated record. The transcript has 2 exons.
UACUAGAGCCUUAGGUCAUACAUCAAAGCCAUUCUAGAACCUUAGGUCAUACAUCAAAGCCAUUUUAGAACCUUAGGUCAUACAUCAGAGACGUUCUAGAGCCUUAGGUCAUACAUCAGAGCCGUUCUAGAACCUUAGGUCAUACAUCAGAGACGUUCUAGAACCUUAGGUCAUACAUCAGAGACGUUCUAGAACCUUAGGUCAUACAUCAGAGAAGUUCUAGAACCUUAGUCCCUCCCCCCACACAGCAGCAUAGCAACUGUUGCUAGGAACAACAGCCAUUUUUCUUUUGUCAUGCAUGUGAGGUUUCAAAAUGGCUGUUACACAAAUACAUUGUGAAUUUCCACGUUUAAUGUAAUAAAGAGGAAAAAUCUUCAACCGAAUAGCCAUAAAAAUUUUGACUUUUAACAGAAUUAGUUUUAAUGCAUAAAAAUACUUGUGUGUUGUGUCUUGCACUAUGUGUCAAAUAAAACACGGGAAUUUCUCA